UGCAGUCGAGCGGAACGAGUUGUCUGAACCUUCGGGGAACGAUAACGGCGUCGAGCGGCGGACGGGUGAGUAAUGCCUGGGAAAUUGCCCUGAUGUGGGGGAUAACCAUUGGAAACGAUGGCUAAUACCGCAUAAUAGCUUCGGCUCAAAGAGGGGGACCUUCGGGCCUCUCGCGUCAGGAUAUGCCCAGGUGGGAUUAGCUAGUUGGUGAGGUAAGGGCUCACCAAGGCGACGAUCCCUAGCUGGUCUGAGAGGAUGAUCAGCCACACUGGAACUGAGACACGGUCCAGACUCCUACGGGAGGCAGCAGUGGGGAAUAUUGCACAAUGGGCGCAAGCCUGAUGCAGCCAUGCCGCGUGUAUGAAGAAGGCCUUCGGGUUGUAAAGUACUUUCAGCAGUGAGGAAGGUGGUGUACUUAAUACGUGCAUCAUUUGACGUUAGCUGCAGAAGAAGCACCGGCUAACUCCGUGCCAGCAGCCGCGGUAAUACGGAGGGUGCGAGCGUUAAUCGGAAUUACUGGGCGUAAAGCGCAUGCAGGUGGUUUGUUAAGUCAGAUGUGAAAGCCCGGGGCUCAACCUCGGAAUUGCAUUUGAAACUGGCAGACUAGAGUACUGUAGAGGGGGGUAGAAUUUCACGUGUAGCGGUGAAAUGCGUAGAGAUCUGAAGGAAUACCGGUGGCGAAGGCGGCCCCCUGGACAGAUACUGACACUCAGAUGCGAAA
RNAcentral lists this ribosomal RNA (721 nucleotides) under uncultured bacterium. RNAcentral's name for it is "bacterial SSU rRNA". It matches the Rfam family "Bacterial small subunit ribosomal RNA", at positions 56 to 758 of the family's 1533-position model. The record is from RNAcentral.